Molecule: unclassified non-coding RNA, 510 nt
Filed under: Hevea brasiliensis (rubber tree)
Lineage: Eukaryota; Viridiplantae; Streptophyta; Magnoliopsida; Malpighiales; Euphorbiaceae
Source: RNAcentral
AUCGAAGAUUUUUAUCAUUUUGGCUGAAAAAACAAGAAAUUGGAAGUAAAAAAUUUUCUUUUUUUUAAUCUUUUGGUGGAUUUUUGAAAUGGAAGGGAAGAGCUCAGUGAGGUUCACUCUUGGGAAGCAAUCAUCUUUAGCGCCAGACAGCCACCAGAAGGAUUCAGGCACAGAACAGGAAGAGAUCGAACCUGGUGUGCGGCUAAUGUAUUCGGCCAAUGAGGGCAAUUUGGAUGGGAUUCGUGAACUCUUGGAUUCGGGCAUUGAUGUUAAUUUCCGUGACAUCGAUAACCGGACUGCGCUUCAUGUUGCUGCUUGCCAAGGCAAUGCGGACGUGGUUGCUCUGUUGCUCGAUAACGGGGCCCAGGUUGACACCAAAGACCGAUGGGGGAGCACGCCUCUCGCUGAUGCUAUAUACUAUAAAAACCAUGAAGUGAUCAAACUUUUGGAGAAACAUGGUGCAAAGCGUCCGAUGGCUCCCAUGCACGUCAAUCAUGCCCGUGAAGUCCC